This is a long non-coding RNA of Hyla sarda, 352 nucleotides long. RefSeq lists it as uncharacterized. The record is from RefSeq and is a predicted model, not a curated record. NCBI's taxonomy places the organism in Eukaryota, Metazoa, Chordata, Amphibia, Anura, Hylidae. The transcript is spliced from 3 exons.
UCCAAGCUGAAGGACAGGCAUGGACAAAGUCCAAGACAUGGAUGCGAAGGAAUACUUUGGAUUCGAGGAAUAUGUCGAUGACCAGCAUUCCAUAUCUUACUACUUUUACAGCUCGGAGUUUGCAGAGUCUUCUUAUUAUGAAAAUAUAGGCCGUUCAUCCAUUAGCGGAGAUAUUUCACUCUUCUUGGCCCGGCUUCCAAUGGUCGUGCUGUGACUGUAAAUGCCUCCAGGUUAUUAGCAUAUAUAACCCUACGGCAGCCACAGAAACCAGGAAAACUCAAAGGGUCGUGAACCCGACCAAUGGGAAGACAUUUUUUUUCAUCUUCACUAUGGAUAUGAUAAGAAUAAAAUA